This 253-nucleotide ribosomal RNA is filed under the name uncultured bacterium. RNAcentral's name for it is "partial 16S ribosomal RNA". It matches the Rfam family "Bacterial small subunit ribosomal RNA", at positions 524 to 776 of the family's 1533-position model. The record is from RNAcentral.
UACGUAGGGGGCGAGCGUUGUCCGGAGUUACUGGGCGUAAAGCGCACGCAGGCGGUCUGCUAAGUUUGGAGUGACAGUUGGUGGCUUAACUGCCAAAGUGCUUCGAAAACUGACAGACUUGAGGGCUUCAGAGGGACACGGAAUUCCGGGUGGAGUGGUGAAAUGCGUAGAGAUCGGGAGGAACACCAGAGGCGAAAGCGGCGACCUGGACAGGCACUGACACUCAACUACGAAAGCGUGGGGAGCAAACAGG